Camellia sinensis is the source of this 1370-nucleotide non-coding RNA. NCBI's taxonomy places the organism in Eukaryota, Viridiplantae, Streptophyta, Magnoliopsida, Ericales, Theaceae. The record is from RefSeq and is a predicted model, not a curated record.
UAUUGAAAUCUGAAGGGUCUCAAUUAGAGUUACAAUUACAAUGUCAAAAAGGAGUAAAAUAAAAUAUCCUAAUACCAUAAUUUCUCCACAUGAAGCACUGGACUUAAAAAAAUUAAAAUUGAGGGUUGGCUCAUCUUCUAUAAGGAGGGUCUAUGUUCCAGUUCUUUCUACACUUGAUGUUGCUUUUGUACUAGUUAUAAACUAAAGAGUAGUGGAGUUCUGUUUCUCUUUAAAAUAAUAGUUCUCCUUUUUAACAGUGGUGGAGUUCUAUUUCCCUAUGUUCCCAAACUUUAAGUUUUCAAUUUAUUUUCAAAAAGAUUUUCAAUAGUGGAAAGAAAAAGAUAAAAUCAGCUUUACUUUCCAUUAUGAAGAAUAGCUACAACAGAAAUUCAAACUGAAAUGUAAAUAAAUGAUCAUUUUGUUAACUUCUCAACUCUUAACUUCUUCAAUGCUUCACUUCAUUUGACGGUUCUCGGCUUCAAGACUACAAUCAACUGAAACCAUGCUUAAAUGCGCAGAAGGGGAAGAAGUAUAAACAAUAAACUUUCAAAUUUAAAGGAUGUUCACAGAAGCAAUAUCUUCUUUUGUUUCUGUCCCCUAGCAUGCCCAUUAUGUUCAAAUUUGUGGUGGUGUUUAUCUGAGAUACAUGCAUGAUGAGCUAAUUCAUUGCAAGGUAUCCAUUGUUGAACCAGGAGAGUAACAAGAGUUGCUGAGGUCAUAUUCGAAUCAUUGAUAUGAUUAGCAUAUACCCCACACUGAAGCUCCUCAUGAAGCUCCAAUCCUUUCAAGUGGUUACUUCCAUUUUUAUCCUAUUGAAGCUCCUCAUGAAGCUCCAAUCCUUUGAAGUUGCUGCAAAGCAAUAAAUAUUGAGCUGAAGCAAUUUUCUCAUCAUGAGUGUUUAUGUUUUUUUAGGUUAUGGUUGAGAAAAUGGGACUUCCUGAUGGAUUGGAUUCUGGUACAUCUAAAGGUUAUGGUGAUGUUCUACGUUGUUGUCGGACGUGGAGUAAGAUUGAAAGACGGAUUGCCACUCUUGAGUUUGACCGUGAUAGGAAAUCGAUGGGAGUUAUAGUGAGUUCCAGCUCAAGAAGAAAGUCAUUGCUUGUAAAGGUGCAUACACCACCUUUUCCCUCCCUCACUCUUCUUUCAUUUAGCCAUGUGGAGUUUUAUAGUUUUUAAUUCGAUGUAUUGUCACAUAGGAGAAACUGAUUUUCUGAUAAGAAUUGCAAAACUAUAAAAUGUGGUUCCACCAUUUUAAUCUUUGUUUCAAUUUUUUUUGUCUCUUUGCUAGUAUUUUUUGCAACUUCAAUUUGCGUGCGAGAUAGAUUGUGAACAAAUUUACUUGGAACUUUAAUGGGGAAGAGUAUGAUGAA